This 408-nucleotide ribosomal RNA is filed under the name Polypedates braueri (Java treefrog). Its description in RNAcentral is "partial 16S ribosomal RNA". It matches the Rfam family "Bacterial large subunit ribosomal RNA", at positions 1833 to 2459 of the family's 2925-position model. Lineage: Eukaryota; Metazoa; Chordata; Amphibia; Anura; Rhacophoridae. The record is from RNAcentral.
CUUGACUUCCAAAUAAGAGGUCCAGCCUGCCCAGUGAAUUUUUAACGGCCGCGGUAUCCUAACCGCGCGAAGGUAGCAUAAUCACUUGUUCUUUAAAUGGGGACUCGUAUCAACGGCAUCACGAGGGUUCUACUGUCUCCUCUUUUUGAUCAGUGAAAUUGAUCUUCCCGUGAAGAAGCGGGAAUAUUAAUAUAAGACGAGAAGACCCCAUGGAGCUUUAAACCAAAUAGCAACUUAACCAUAUAUUGCCUAAUAACUUUAAGCCCGUGCUACAAGGUUUUUGGUUGGGGUGACCGCGGAGUAAAACACAUCCUCCACGACGGAAAGACUUUAAUCUUUAUUUAAGAACUACAAUUCUAGAAAUUAGUAUACUAACGUUUACUGACCCGACAAUCGAUCAACGGAACA